GGGGCCAUAGCUCAGCUGGGAGAGCGGUUGCCUGGCAGGCAAUAGGUCAGGGGUUCAAGUCCCCUUGGCUCCACCA
RNAcentral lists this transfer RNA (76 nucleotides) under Armatimonadota bacterium. Its description in RNAcentral is "Armatimonadetes bacterium (sediment metagenome) tRNA-Ala". It matches the Rfam family "tRNA". Rfam says of the family: Transfer RNA (tRNA) molecules are approximately 80 nucleotides in length. Lineage: Bacteria; Bacillati; Armatimonadota. The record is from RNAcentral.